AACAGGAUUAGAUACCCUGGUAGUCCACGCCGUAAACGAUGAGUGCUAGGUGUUAGGGGUUUCGAUACCCUUGGUGCCGAAGUUAACACAUUAAGCACUCCGCCUGGGGAGUACGGUCGCAAGACUGAAACUCAAAGGAAUUGACAGGGACCCGCACAAGCAGUGGAGUAUGUGGUUUAAUUCGAAGCAACGCGAAGAACCUUACCAGGUCUUGACAUCCAACUAACGAAGCAGAGAUGCAUCAGGUGCCCUUCGGGGAAAGUUGAGACAGGUGGUGCAUGGUUGUCGUCAGCUCGUGUCGUGAGAUGUUGGGUUAAGUCCCGCAACGAGCGCAACCCUUAUAUUUAGUUGCCAGCACUUCGGGUGGGCACUCUAGAUAGACUGCCGGUGACAAACCGGAGGAAGGUGGGGAUGACGUCAAAUCAUCAUGCCCCUUAUGACCUGGGCUACACACGUACUACAAUGGCCGGUAUAACGGGCUGCGAAAUCGCGAGAUGGAGCCAAUCCCAACAAAGCCGGUCUCAGUUCGGAUUGCAGGCUGCAACUCGCCUGCAUGAAGUCGGGAUUGCUAGUAAUCGCGGAUCAGCAUGCCGCGGUGAAUACGUUCCCGGGUCUUGUACACACCGCCCGUCACACCACGAGAGUUUACAACACCCGAAGUCGGUGGGGUAACCCGCAAGGGGGCCAGCCGCCGAAGGUGGGGUAGAUGAUUGGGGUGAAGUCGUAACAAGGUAACC
RNAcentral lists this ribosomal RNA (737 nucleotides) under uncultured bacterium. RNAcentral describes it as "bacterial SSU rRNA". It matches the Rfam family "Bacterial small subunit ribosomal RNA", at positions 771 to 1501 of the family's 1533-position model. The record is from RNAcentral.